CUCGAUUUUGAAAGAGUUAAUAUUAUAAAAAUUUUAUUGUUACAUAAAUAUUUAGGAUAUAAUAUUAGAAAUGAAACGUUAUUCGUUUUCAAAUAUAUCUAGUUUUCAAAGAAAUAAGUUUAAUUUAUAAUUAUAAAUUUUUAUUAGUCUAAUUUAAGAUUAAUAUAAUUUUUAAUUGAAUAUUUUUAGGGAUAAGCUUAAGAGUAUAAUUCUAUAAAUAAUUUGAAUUUAAGAAAUUUAUAGAAAUAGAAAUUUUCAUUAAAUAAUUUGUUAUAAUUAUUUUCUUUAAAAAUUUAAUUUAUUAGUAUUUUAGGUAUUUUAUUUGAAUAAUUUAUUUAAUAAUUAAUUAAAUGUAAUUAUGAUGAAAUUAGUAUAAUUAUAUUUUAAAAUUUUAGAUACAUGUAAGGUUAAAUUAAGGAAUUCGGCAAAUAGUAUUUUCGCCUGUUUAAUAAAAACAUGUCUUUUUGUUUAAAAUUUAAAGUCUGACCUGCCCACUGAGGAUUUAAAUGGCCGCAGUAUUUUGACUGUGCAAAGGUAGCAUAAUAAUUAGUUUUUUAAUUGAAAGCUAGAAUGAAUGGUUGGACGAGAAAUAAUCUGUCUCAGUUUAAUUAAAUUAGAAUUUUAUUUUUAAGUUAAAAAGCUUAAAUUUAAUUUAAAGACGAGAAGACCCUUUAGAGUUUUAUAUAUUUAUAUAAUUAAGUUUUAUAGAAUUAAUAUGUUUAAUUAUAAAAAUAUAUUUUGUUGGGGUGACAGAAAAAUUUAUUUAACUUUUUUUUUAUUAUAACAUUAAUUUAUGAUUUAUUGAUCCAAUAAUUUUGAUUAUAAGAUUAAAUUACCUUAGGGAUAACAGCGUAAUUUCUUUAAAGAGUUCUAAUCGAAAAAGAAGUUUGCGACCUCGAUGUUGGAUUAAAAUUAAAUUUUGGUGUAGAAGCUAGGAUUUUAAGUCUGUUCGACUUUUAAAAUUUUACAUGAUCUGAGUUUAAACCGGUGUAAGCCAGGUUGGUUUCUAUCUUGAAUUUUUUUUAGUAUUUUAGUACGAAAGGACCAAUUACU
This 1053-nucleotide ribosomal RNA is filed under the name Gyrohypnus fracticornis. RNAcentral's name for it is "16S ribosomal RNA". The stretch from base 843 to 1001 matches the Rfam family "Bacterial large subunit ribosomal RNA", at positions 2473 to 2632 of the family's 2925-position model. Lineage: Eukaryota; Metazoa; Arthropoda; Insecta; Coleoptera; Staphylinidae. The record is from RNAcentral.